This 22-nucleotide microRNA is filed under the name Echinococcus granulosus. RNAcentral describes it as "egr-miR-10283-5p". The record is from miRBase by way of RNAcentral. Lineage: Eukaryota; Metazoa; Platyhelminthes; Cestoda; Cyclophyllidea; Taeniidae.
AACCGGGUUGGUGGGAGGCAUG